UACGGAGGGUGCAAGCGUUGUCCGGAUUUAUUGGGUUUAAAGGGUGCGUAGGCGGGCUUUUAAGUCAGUGGUGAAAUACUUCGGCUCAACCGGAGAGGUGCCAUUGAUACUGGGAGUCUUGAGUUCAGUUGAGGUAAGCGGAAUUGAUGGUGUAGCGGUGAAAUGCAUAGAUACCAUCAGGAACACCGAUUGCGAAGGCAGCUUACUGGGCUUGGACUGACGCUGAGGCACGAAAGCGUGGGGAUCGAACAGG
Molecule: unclassified non-coding RNA, 253 nt
Filed under: uncultured Cytophagales bacterium
Lineage: Bacteria; Pseudomonadati; Bacteroidota; Sphingobacteriia; Sphingobacteriales
Description: contains 16S-23S intergenic spacer region
Rfam family: Bacterial small subunit ribosomal RNA
Source: RNAcentral